RNAcentral lists this ribosomal RNA (465 nucleotides) under uncultured bacterium. RNAcentral's name for it is "bacterial SSU rRNA". It matches the Rfam family "Bacterial small subunit ribosomal RNA", at positions 917 to 1382 of the family's 1533-position model. The record is from RNAcentral.
GGGCCCGCACAAGCGGAGGAACAUGUGGUUUAAUUCGAUGAUACGCGAGGAACCUUACCCGGGCUUGAAUUGCAUAUGACUUCAUCAGAGAUGAUGGAUCCCUUCGGGGCAUAUGUGAAGGUGCUGCAUGGUUGUCGUCAGCUCGUGCCGUGAGGUGUCGGCUUAAGUGCCAUAACGAGCGCAACCCCUUUUUUCAGUUGCCAUCAGGUCAUGCUGGGCACUCUGGAGAUACUGCCGCCGUAAGGUGUGAGGAAGGUGGGGAUGACGUCAAAUCAGCACGGCCCUUACGUCCGGGGCUACACACGUGUUACAAUGGGGUGUACAGCGAGUUGGUGUUACGCAAGUGACAUCUAAUCCACAAAACAUCUCUCAGUUCGGACUGGGGUCUGCAACCCGACCCCACGAAGCUGGAUUCGCUAGUAAUCGCGCAUCAGCCAUGGCGCGGUGAAUACGUUCCCGGGCCUU